This 347-nucleotide ribosomal RNA is filed under the name Olea europaea subsp. europaea. Its description in RNAcentral is "SSU_rRNA_archaea". It matches the Rfam family "Bacterial small subunit ribosomal RNA", at positions 996 to 1326 of the family's 1533-position model. Lineage: Eukaryota; Viridiplantae; Streptophyta; Magnoliopsida; Lamiales; Oleaceae. The record is from RNAcentral.
GAAGUUGGUGAAUUUUGUUCAUUUUUUUGACCUUUUUUAAACUAUGCUAUUUUUCCCGUAGUGGUACAUGGCUGUCGUCAGUUUGUGUCGUAAGGUGUUGAGUUAAGUCCUGCAAUGAGCGCAACCCUCUUUUUGUAGUUGCCAUUGUUGAAUUUGGAACCCUAAACAGACUGCCGGUGAUAAGUUGGAGGAAGGUGAAGAUGACGUCAAGUCAUCAUGCCCCUUAUGCCCUGGCGACACACGUGCUACAAUGGCCGGGACAAAGGGUCGCGAUUCCGCGAGGGUGAGCUAAUUCCAAAAACCCGUCCUUAGUUCGGAUUGCAGGCUGCAACUCGCCUGCAUGAAGC